CCAUUGGUGGUUCAAUGAUAGGAUUUUUGCCUUCCAUGCAGGAUACCCGGGUUUGAUUCCUGGCCAAUGCA
RNAcentral lists this transfer RNA (71 nucleotides) under Loxodonta africana (African savanna elephant). It matches the Rfam family "tRNA". Rfam says of the family: Transfer RNA (tRNA) molecules are approximately 80 nucleotides in length. The record is from Rfam by way of RNAcentral. Lineage: Eukaryota; Metazoa; Chordata; Mammalia; Proboscidea; Elephantidae.